UUUCAUAUUGAAACUUAUAACCAAACUUUUAUACAAAACACAAACCAGAGCACUUCACAACUUUUUACUCUAAACUCUAUUCACAUCAAAAUGGAGAUCUCAAAAGAAGAUAGAAUCUCAAUCCAUCUGGGCCGUACUCAAGGCCCCUCUUGAGAUUAUCUUCUUCUUCCAAAGAUCCUUUUCCUCAAGUUUCACCUCUGAGUUCUCCUUCUCAGACUCCUCCUCCUCAGCUCCUCAGCGGGGUCCUGAAAUGAUUUCCCAAACCGGGAUGAGACUACGUCUCAGCGAGUUCUACCCCACUAAGGCCCGAUUAGUAAACCAUUAUACUAUAGGAUGCCUAAACACGCAUAGGGCAGAGGACUUACCUUGGCCUCAGAUCCCACCUGCAUAAUCAGUACAAUUCACAAUAGGCAUCCAUUUACUCAAAACAAAUUGAACUAGUCAAUUACAUGUCACACAAAUCAUUCCCCACUGAGGGAUAUUUAAAAGCUAGGCCACGUGCAUUCUCCAGGAUGACAUCCCAAGUCUCCGAGCCACGUGCCUCAAACCUUGGGCCCACGUACAUUCUCUAAGGCGACCUCUUCGCCAAGGUGGUACAUCAAGUCACCGAGUCACGUGCCCUUUUAGAUGCUAUUCUCAAAUACUAGACCCACGUGCAUUCUCUAAGGCACUCAAUUGCCAAGGUGACGCAUCAGAUCACCGAGCCACAUGUCCUUUUUACGAUGCCCGGGCUCACGUGCCUUCUCUUAGGUGCUAUCUCACCAAAGUGAUGCAUCAAUUCACCGAGCCACGUGCCCUUUUAGACGCCAAACUCUGUCACCGAGCCACGUGCAUUCUCCAGGAUGACAUACCGAGUCUACGAGCCACGUGCAUUCUCUCAGGUGACCUUUUCGCCAAGAUGACAUAAUCAACCACUGAAUUCACGUGCAUUCUCCAAGUGAUAUUCCAAUUCACUGAGCCCACGUACUUUCUUUCGGGUGAUUACCAACCUACUUUCAAUACCGACAACCAAUGCCCAAGGAUUUCUCAAUCAAAUAAUUAAAUCAACUCAACAAAGCAUUAUAAAUGCUGAAUAACAUACUUGGCCAUUUACCAAUCAACAAUUUGAUCUCAAUCAAUUCCAAUCAAUUUAGGGUAAAUUCCUAAAAUAUCACAAUUUAUUUAAUUCCAUGCAACGUGGAGCUCAAAUAAAUAAACGGACUGCGCCACGACAAUCAGCACGAGAUUUCCGUCGUCGGCCAUCUCAACCUUAACUUCCGAACAAUAAUUAAUUAAUUAAUUACUUUCGAAAAUUAAUUAAUAAAUAUUAAAAAUUCAAUUUAAUCUCAAUAAGCCCAAUUAAAUAAACAGACUUCACCACUGUCACCAGCAUAAAAUUCGGGUCCCAGACCAUCCCAGUUGAAUUUUCAGAAAAUAAAUAAUUAUUUAAUUUAAUUCCGAAAAAUAAUAUUUAAAUACCAAAAAUUCCACUUAGGCCCGAAUUGCCUAAUUGAAGCCCACUAAGGCUCAGGAAAAAUCCCGAGAUACUUUCAAUAAAUAGUAUACCAUGUCUACUUGCUAAUUGCACAAUCAAUUUAUCUAAUUCGCAUCACAAUUGACUAAUAAACACUAAUCCAUACUAAUCUAACCACCUAAACCUAAUUAAUUAAAACUAAACCACCCUUAAACAUAAUUAGCCAACUAAUCAUGGAUUAGUGAGAUUACUCACCGGAAUCGCGUGCAAAUCGGAUCAAUCCGACGGGGGCGACGCGAGGAACAACAAACUCCAAAGCACGACUUGGGUUCGGGGCCCGGAAACGGCCCAAAACUAGCCAGAAGGGGGCUGGCAACCCACUCUGUGGGGUGGCUGCAACGGCUGAAAACAGACAAAAAAACAGCCACAAAUCAAAGCAGCAAGGGCGGCAAGGUGCGGGGGAGGGCCGGUGGAGGUCCGACGGGGCCGAACGGUGGCCGGAGGUGGC
RNAcentral lists this long non-coding RNA (1961 nucleotides) under Eucalyptus grandis. RNAcentral describes it as "long non-coding RNA (EGRA_LNC002367)". Lineage: Eukaryota; Viridiplantae; Streptophyta; Magnoliopsida; Myrtales; Myrtaceae. The record is from RNAcentral.